Molecule: RNA transcript, 541 nt
Organism: Galeopterus variegatus (Sunda flying lemur)
Lineage: Eukaryota; Metazoa; Chordata; Mammalia; Dermoptera; Cynocephalidae
Gene name: glutamate receptor ionotropic, NMDA 2B pseudogene
Exons: 1
Source: RefSeq, a predicted model, not a curated record
UCGACGAGUUGAAGAUGAAGCCCAGAGCAGAGUGGUGUUCUCCCAAGUUCUGGCUGGUGUUGGCUGUCCUGGCGGUGUCCGGCAGCAGAGCUCGCUCUCAGAAGAGCCCCCCCAGCAUUGGCAUUGCCGUCAUCCUCGUGGGCACCUCAGACGAAGUGGCCAUCAAGGAUGCCCACGAGAAAGAUGAUUUCCACCAUCUCUCCGUGGUGCCCCGUGUGGAGCUGGUGGCCAUGAACGAGACCGACCCAAAGAGUAUCAUCACCCGCAUCUGUGAUCUCAUGUCUGACCGGAAGGUCCAGGGCGUGGUGUUUGCUGAUGACACGGACCAGGAAGCCAUCGCCCAGAUCCUCGAUUUCAUUUCAGCCCAGACUCUCACCCCGAUCCUGGGCAUCCACGGGGGCUCCUCUAUGAUAAUGGCAGAUAAGGUAAAAGGGGGUGUGGCCAGAAGAGCCCGGGGGGUUGCAUUGAGGACUAAACAUGCAUUUGUUUUCAUGCAAAACGUGGUUAUUGAGGGUGGAAGGUAACCAGAAAGCACUGACUG